RNAcentral lists this ribosomal RNA (531 nucleotides) under uncultured archaeon. RNAcentral's name for it is "bacterial SSU rRNA". It matches the Rfam family "Archaeal small subunit ribosomal RNA", at positions 124 to 656 of the family's 1478-position model. The record is from RNAcentral.
GGAUAAUCUCGGGAAACUGACAAUAAACCGCGAUAGGCCAAGAUUUCUGGAAUGAUUCUUGGUCAAAAUCUAUAUGGCCUCUGGAUUGGACUGCGGCCGAUCAGGCUGUUGGUGAGGUAAUGGCCCACCAAACCUAUAACCGGUACGGGCUCUGAGAGGAGAAGCCCGGAGAUGGGCACUGAGACAAGGGCCCAGGCCCUAUGGGGCGCACCAGGCGCGAAACCUUUGCAAUAGGGGAAAGCCUGACAAGGUUACUCUGAGUGAUUUCCGCUAAGGGGAUCUUUUGACACCUCUAAAAAUGGUGUAAAAUAAGGGGUGGGCAAGUCUGGUGUCAGCCGCCGCGGUAAUACCAGCACCCCGAGUGGUCGGGACGAUUAUUGGGCCUAAAGCAUCCGUAGCCGGUUUUACAAGUCUUCCGAUAAAUCCAGCCGCUCAACGGAAUGGGCUGCGGAGGAUAUUGUAGAACUAGGAGGCGGGAGAGGCAAGCGGUACUUAGUGGGUAGGGGUAAAAUCCACUGAUCCCAUUGAAGA